UACGUAGGGUGCGAGCGUUGUCCGGAAUUAUUGGGCGUAAAGGGCUCGUAGGCGGUUUGUCGCGUCGGGAGUGAAAACCAGGUGCUUAACACCUGGCUUGCUUUCGAUACGGGCAGACUAGAGUCAGGUAGGGGAGAACGGAAUUCCUGGUGUAGCGGUGAAAUGCGCAGAUAUCAGGAGGAACACCGGUGGCGAAGGCGGUUCUCUGGGCCUGUACUGACGCUGAGGAACGAAAGCGUGGGGAGCGAACAGG
RNAcentral lists this ribosomal RNA (253 nucleotides) under uncultured bacterium. RNAcentral's name for it is "partial 16S ribosomal RNA". It matches the Rfam family "Bacterial small subunit ribosomal RNA", at positions 524 to 776 of the family's 1533-position model. The record is from RNAcentral.